RNAcentral lists this ribosomal RNA (467 nucleotides) under Pycnococcus provasolii. RNAcentral's name for it is "partial Bacterial large subunit ribosomal RNA". It matches the Rfam family "Bacterial large subunit ribosomal RNA", at positions 1130 to 1702 of the family's 2925-position model. Lineage: Eukaryota; Viridiplantae; Chlorophyta; Pseudoscourfieldiophyceae; Pseudoscourfieldiales; Pycnococcaceae. The record is from RNAcentral.
AAGCGUAACAGCUCACUGGUCUAGGAUUCUUGCGCCGAAAAUGUAUCGGGGCUCAAGCCAUGCACCGAAGCUUAGGGUUUGCAACUUGUUGCAAGCGGUAGCGGAGCGUUCCGUAAGCCUGUGAAGCGAUCUGGUAAUGGGUCGUGGAGGUAUCGGAAGUGCGAAUGCAGACAUGAGUAGCGAUAAAGAGGGUGAGAUGCCCUCUCGCCGAAAGACCAAGGGUUCCUGCGCAAGGCUAAUCCGCGCAGGGUGAGCCGGCCCCUAAGGCGAGGGCGACAGCCGUAGCCGAUGGAAACCAGGUCAAAAUUCCUGGGCCCGUCAGAAGUGACAGCCGUGAAGUUCUGUCAUCCCUUAUCGGAUUGGGGUGGCAGUUGGAUCGGCUCGGGAAAUAGCUCUGACAUAUGGACCGUACCCGAAACCGACACAGGGGGUCAGGGAGAGAAUACCAAGGUGAGCGAGCGAACUAU